AUAUGGUCAAGUGAAGAAGCGCAUACGGUGGAUGCCUUGGCAGUCAGAGGCGAUGAAAGACGUGGUAGCCUGCGAAAAGCUUCGGGGAGUCGGCAAACAGACUUUGAUCCGGAGAUGUCUGAAUGGGGGAACCCAGCCAUCAUAAGAUGGUUAUCUUACGCUGAAUACAUAGGCGUAAGAGGCGAACCAGGGGAACUGAAACAUCUAAGUACCCUGAGGAAAAGAAAUCAACCGAGAUUCCCUUAGUAGUGGCGAGCGAACGGGGACUAGCCCUUAAGUGGCUUUGAGAUUAGCGGAACGCUCUGGAAAGUGCGGCCAUAGUGGGUGAUAGCCCUGUACGCGAAAAUCUCUUAGUCAUGAAAUCGAGUAGGACGGAGCACGAGAAACUUUGUCUGAAUAUGGGGGGACCAUCCUCCAAGGCUAAAUACUACUGACUGACCGAUAGUGAACUAGUACCGUGAGGGAAAGGCGAAAAGAACCCCGGAGAGGGGAGUGAAAUAGAUCCUGAAACCGUAUGCGUACAAGCAGUGGGAGCCCACUUUGUUGGGUGACUGCGUACCUUUUGUAUAAUGGGUCAGCGACUUAUUUUCAGUGGCGAGCUUAACCGAAUAGGGGAGGCGUAGCGAAAGCGAGUCUUAAUAGGGCGUCUAGUCGCUGGGAAUAGACCCGAAACCGGGCGAUCUAUCCAUGGGCAGGUUGAAGGUUGGGUAACACUAACUGGAGGACCGAACCGACUACCGUUGAAAAGUUAGCGGAUGACCUGUGGAUCGGAGUGAAAGGCUAAUCAAGCUCGGAGAUAGCUGGUUCUCCUCGAAAGCUAUUUAGGUAGCGCCUCAUGUAUCACUGUAGGGGGUAGAGCACUGUUUCGGCUAGGGGGUCAUCCCGACUUACCAAACCGAUGCAAACUCCGAAUACCUACAAGUGCCGAGCAUGGGAGACACACGGCGGGUGCUAACGUCCGUCGUGAAAAGGGAAACAACCCAGACCGUCAGCUAAGGUCCCAAAGUUAUGGUUAAGUGGGAAACGAUGUGGGAAGGCUUAGACAGCUAGGAGGUUGGCUUAGAAGCAGCCACCCUUUAAAGAAAGCGUAAUAGCUCACUAGUCGAGUCGGCCUGCGCGGAAGAUGUAACGGGGCUCAAACCAUACACCGAAGCUACGGGUAUCACGUAAGUGAUGCGGUAGAGGAGCGUUCUGUAAGCCUGUGAAGGUGAGUUGAGAAGCUUGCUGGAGGUAUCAGAAGUGCGAAUGCUGACAUGAGUAACGACAAUGGGUGUGAAAAACACCCACGCCGAAAGACCAAGGUUUCCUGCGCAACGUUAAUCGACGCAGGGUUAGUCGGUCCCUAAGGCGAGGCUGAAAAGCGUAGUCGAUGGAAAACAGGUUAAUAUUCCUGUACUUCUGGUUAUUGCGAUGGAGGGACGGAGAAGGCUAGGCCAGCUUGGCGUUGGUUGUCCAAGUUUAAGGUGGUAGGCUGGAAUCUUAGGUAAAUCCGGGAUUCUAAGGCCGAGAGCUGAUGACGAGCUAACUUUUAGUUAGCGAAGUGGUUGAUGCCAUGCUUCCAAGAAAAGCUUCUAAGCUUCAGGUAACCAGGAACCGUACCCCAAACCGACACAGGUGGUUGGGUAGAGAAUACCAAGGCGCUUGAGAGAACUCGGGUGAAGGAACUAGGCAAAAUGGCACCGUAACUUCGGGAGAAGGUGCGCCGGUGAGGGUGAAGGACUUGCUCCGUAAGCUCAUGCCGGUCGAAGAUACCAGGCCGCUGCGACUGUUUAUUAAAAACACAGCACUCUGCAAACACGAAAGUGGACGUAUAGGGUGUGACGCCUGCCCGGUGCCGGAAGGUUAAUUGAUGGGGUUAGCUAACGCGAAGCUCUUGAUCGAAGCCCCGGUAAACGGCGGCCGUAACUAUAACGGUCCUAAGGUAGCGAAAUUCCUUGUCGGGUAAGUUCCGACCUGCACGAAUGGCGUAACGAUGGCGGCGCUGUCUCCACCCGAGACUCAGUGAAAUUGAAAUCGCUGUGAAGAUGCAGUGUAUCCGCGGCUAGACGGAAAGACCCCGUGAACCUUUACUAUAGCUUUGCACUGGACUUUGAAUUUGCUUGUGUAGGAUAGGUGGGAGGCUUUGAAGCGUGGACGCCAGUCUGCGUGGAGCCAACCUUGAAAUACCACCCUGGCAACUUUGAGGUUCUAACUCAGGUCCGUUAUCCGGAUCGAGGACAGUGUAUGGUGGGUAGUUUGACUGGGGCGGUCUCCUCCUAAAGAGUAACGGAGGAGUACGAAGGUGCGCUCAGACCGGUCGGAAAUCGGUCGUAGAGUAUAAAGGCAAAAGCGCGCUUGACUGCGAGACAGACACGUCGAGCAGGUACGAAAGUAGGUCUUAGUGAUCCGGUGGUUCUGUAUGGAAGGGCCAUCGCUCAACGGAUAAAAGGUACUCCGGGGAUAACAGGCUGAUACCGCCCAAGAGUUCAUAUCGACGGCGGUGUUUGGCACCUCGAUGUCGGCUCAUCACAUCCUGGGGCUGAAGCCGGUCCCAAGGGUAUGGCUGUUCGCCAUUUAAAGUGGUACGCGAGCUGGGUUUAGAACGUCGUGAGACAGUUCGGUCCCUAUCUGCCGUGGACGUUUGAGAUUUGAGAGGGGCUGCUCCUAGUACGAGAGGACCGGAGUGGACGAACCUCUGGUGUUCCGGUUGUCACGCCAGUGGCAUUGCCGGGUAGCUAUGUUCGGAAUAGAUAACCGCUGAAAGCAUCUAAGCGGGAAACUAGCCUCAAGAUGAGAUCUCACUGGAACCUUGAGUUCCCUGAAGGGCCGUCGAAGACUACGACGUUGAUAGGUUGGGUGUGUAAGCGCUGUGAGGCGUUGAGCUAACCAAUACUAAUUGCCCGUGAGGCUUGACCAU
Molecule: ribosomal RNA, 2896 nt
Filed under: Pseudomonas costantinii
Lineage: Bacteria; Pseudomonadati; Pseudomonadota; Gammaproteobacteria; Pseudomonadales; Pseudomonadaceae
Description: bacterial LSU rRNA
Rfam family: Bacterial large subunit ribosomal RNA
Source: RNAcentral